Molecule: ribosomal RNA, 492 nt
Filed under: uncultured bacterium
Lineage: Bacteria
Description: partial 16S ribosomal RNA
Rfam family: Bacterial small subunit ribosomal RNA
Source: RNAcentral
AGCGAACGCUGGCGGUAGGCCUAACACAUGCAAGUCGAACGGCAGCACAGUAACUGCUCGCUCUUACGGGGGGCGCGUGGGGGGCGGGCGGGGGAUACACCCGUAUCUACCCUUUCGUGGGGGAUAAGGUAGGGAAACUUACGCUAAUACAGCACACGACCUACUUGUGAAAGCCGUGGAACUUCGGACCUUGCUCGAAUGGAUGAGCCGAUGUCUGGUCAGCUAGUUGGCGGGGUAGAGGCCCACCAAGGCGCCUAUCCGUAGCUGGCCGGAGAGGAUGAUCAGCCACACUGGAACGGGAACACGGUCCAGACUCCUACGGGAGGCGCAAGUGGGGAACAUUGGACAUUGGGGGCAAUCCUAAUCCGGCCAUACCGCGUGGGUGAAGAAGGCCUUCGGGUGGUAAAGCCCUUUUGUUGGGAAAGAAGAGCAGCAGGUUAAUACCCCGCUGUUCUGACGGUACCCAAAGAAUAAGCACCGGCUAACUUCGUG